This 568-nucleotide unclassified non-coding RNA is filed under the name Hevea brasiliensis (rubber tree). The record is from RNAcentral. Lineage: Eukaryota; Viridiplantae; Streptophyta; Magnoliopsida; Malpighiales; Euphorbiaceae.
GUUUGGAGAUGCUGAAAAGCUUACCAAGGCACUCUUCUCAUUUGCCAGUAAGCUGUCUCCUGUAAUAAUUUUUGUUGAUGAGGUUGAUAGCUUACUUGGUGCUCGUGGUGGUUCAUUUGAGCACGAGGCAACUAGAAGGAUGCGGAAUGAGUUUAUGGCUGCAUGGGAUGGUUUGAGAUCAAAGGAGAACCAGAAGAUCCUUAUACUUGGUGCAACAAAUCGUCCCUUUGAUCUUGAUGAUGCUGUUAUUCGCCGUUUACCUAGGAGGAUAUAUGUUGACCUACCAGAUGCAGCAAAUCGCUUAAAGAUACUAAAAAUAAUUCUUGCUCGGGAAAAUUUGGAGUCGGAAUUCCCCUAUGAGAAUCUUGCAAAUGCAACUGAUGGUUAUUCUGGCAGUGAUUUGAAGAACCUGUGCAUUGCGGCAGCUUAUAGACCUGUUCAAGAGAUACUAGAAGAAGAGAAGGAGCCUGAAUCACUGGGAAGUAGAAAAGAUGGAAUUCCAGUGUUAAGACCUCUCACUGUAGACGAUUUCAUUCAGUCAAAAGCGAAGGUGGGGCCAUCAGUUGCA